Molecule: ribosomal RNA, 2777 nt
Filed under: Pseudomonas aeruginosa
Lineage: Bacteria; Pseudomonadati; Pseudomonadota; Gammaproteobacteria; Pseudomonadales; Pseudomonadaceae
Description: 23S ribosomal RNA
Rfam family: Bacterial large subunit ribosomal RNA
Source: RNAcentral
UCAAGUGAAGAAGCGCAUACGGUGGAUGCCUUGGCAGUCAGAGGCGAUGAAAGACGUGGUAGCCUGCGAAAAGCUUCGGGGAGUCGGCAAACAGACUUUGAUCCGGAGAUCUCUGAAUGGGGGAACCCACCUAGGAUAACCUAGGUAUCUUGUACUGAAUCCAUAGGUGCAAGAGGCGAACCAGGGGAACUGAAACAUCUAAGUACCCUGAGGAAAAGAAAUCAACCGAGAUUCCCUUAGUAGUGGCGAGCGAACGGGGAUUAGCCCUUAAGCUUCAUUGAUUUUAGCGGAACGCUCUGGAAAGUGCGGCCAUAGUGGGUGAUAGCCCCGUACGCGAAAGGAUCUUUGAAGUGAAAUCGAGUAGGACGGAGCACGAGAAACUUUGUCUGAACAUGGGGGGACCAUCCUCCAAGGCUAAAUACUACUGACUGACCGAUAGUGAACCAGUACCGUGAGGGAAAGGCGAAAAGAACCCCGGAGAGGGAGUGAAAUAGAACCUGAAACCGUAUGCGUACAAGCAGUGGGAGCCUACUUGUUAGGUGACUGCGUACCUUUUGUAUAAUGGGUCAGCGACUUAUAUUCAGUGGCAAGCUUAACCGUAUAGGGUAGGCGUAGCGAAAGCGAGUCUUAAUAGGGCGUUUAGUCGCUGGGUAUAGACCCGAAACCGGGCGAUCUAUCCAUGAGCAGGUUGAAGGUUAGGUAACACUGACUGGAGGACCGAACCCACUCCCGUUGAAAAGGUAGGGGAUGACUUGUGGAUCGGAGUGAAAGGCUAAUCAAGCUCGGAGAUAGCUGGUUCUCCUCGAAAGCUAUUUAGGUAGCGCCUCAUGUAUCACUCUGGGGGGUAGAGCACUGUUUCGGCUAGGGGGUCAUCCCGACUUACCAAACCGAUGCAAACUCCGAAUACCCAGAAGUGCCGAGCAUGGGAGACACACGGCGGGUGCUAACGUCCGUCGUGGGAAACAACCCAGACCGCCAGCUAAGGUCCCAAAGUUGUGGUUAAGUGGUAAACGAUGUGGGAAGGCUUAGACAGCUAGGAGGUUGGCUUAGAAGCAGCCACCCUUUAAAGAAAGCGUAAUAGCUCACUAGUCGAGUCGGCCUGCGCGGAAGAUGUAACGGGGCUCAAACCACACACCGAAGCUGCGGGUGUCACGCAAGUGACGCGGUAGAGGAGCGUUCUGUAAGCCUGUGAAGGUGAGUUGAGAAGCUUGCUGGAGGUAUCAGAAGUGCGAAUGCUGACAUGAGUAACGACAAUGGGUGUGAAAAACACCCACGCCGAAAGACCAAGGGUUCCUGCGCAACGUUAAUCGACGCAGGGUUAGUCGGUUCCUAAGGCGAGGCUGAAAAGCGUAGUCGAUGGGAAACAGGUUAAUAUUCCUGUACUUCUGGUUACUGCGAUGGAGGGACGGAGAAGGCUAGGCCAGCUUGGCGUUGGUUGUCCAAGUUUAAGGUGGUAGGCUGAAAUCUUAGGUAAAUCCGGGGUUUCAAGGCCGAGAGCUGAUGACGAGUCGUCUUUUAGAUGACGAAGUGGUUGAUGCCAUGCUUCCAAGAAAAGCUUCUAAGCUUCAGGUAACCAGGAACCGUACCCCAAACCGACACAGGUGGUCGGGUAGAGAAUACCAAGGCGCUUGAGAGAACUCGGGUGAAGGAACUAGGCAAAAUGGCACCGUAACUUCGGGAGAAGGUGCGCCGGCUAGGGUGAAGGAUUUACUCCGUAAGCUCUGGCUGGUCGAAGAUACCAGGCCGCUGCGACUGUUUAUUAAAAACACAGCACUCUGCAAACACGAAAGUGGACGUAUAGGGUGUGACGCCUGCCCGGUGCCGGAAGGUUAAUUGAUGGGGUUAGCGCAAGCGAAGAUCGAAGCCCCGGUAAACGGCGGCCGUAACUAUAACGGUCCUAAGGUAGCGAAAUUCCUUGUCUCCGACCUGAAUGGCGUAACGAUGGCGGCGCUGCGAGACUCAGUGAAAUUGAAAUCGCUGUGAAGAUGCAGUGUAUCCGCGGCUAGCGGAAAGACCCCGUGAAAUACUGUAGCUUUGCACUGGACUUUGAGCCUGCGGAAGCGUGGACGAGUUCGCGUGGAGCCAUCCUGAAAUACCACCCUGGGUGAGGUUCAGUGAUUGACUGGGGCGGCUCCUCCUAAAGAGUAACGGAGGAGUACGAAGGUGCGCUCAGACCGGUCGGAAAUCGGUCGUAGAGUAUAAAGGCAAAAGCGCGCUUGACUGCGAGACAGACACGUCGAGCAGGUACGAAAGUAGGUCUUAGUGAUCCGGUGGUUCUGUAUGGAAGGGCCAUCGCUCAACGGAUAAAAGGUACUCCGGGGAUAACAGGCUGAUACCGCCCAAGAGUUCAUAUCGACGGCGGUGUUUGGCACCUCGAUGUCGGCUCAUCACAUCCUGGGGCUGAAGCCGGUCCCAAGGGUAUGGCUGUUCGCCAUUUAAAGUGGUACGCGAGCUGGGUUUAGAACGUCGUGAGACAGUUCGGUCCCUAUCUGCCGUGGACGUUUGAGAUUUGAGAGGGGCUGCUCCUAGUACGAGAGGACCGGAGUGGACGAACCUCUGGUGUUCCGGUUGUCACGCCAGUGGCAUUGCCGGGUAGCUAUGUUCGGAAAAGAUAACCGCUGAAAGCAUCUAAGCGGGAAACUUGCCUCAAGAUGAGAUCUCACUGGGAACUUGAUUCCCCUGAAGGGCCGUCGAAGACUACGACGUUGAUAGGCUGGGUGUGUAAGCGUUGUGAGGCGUUGAGCUAACCAGUACUAAUUGCCCGUGAGGCUUGACCA